UCCCUGGUAGUAUAUCGGUUAGUACACGCGCCUGUCACAGUUCAUUAGCUCAGUCGUAAGCAUGUCGCGCGAAAGCUGGGUUCGACUCCCAGCCAGGGAG
This 100-nucleotide transfer RNA is filed under the name Lentinula edodes (shiitake mushroom). RNAcentral's name for it is "tRNA-Asp". It matches the Rfam family "tRNA". Rfam says of the family: Transfer RNA (tRNA) molecules are approximately 80 nucleotides in length. Their secondary structure includes four short double-helical elements and three loops (D, anti-codon, and T loops). Lineage: Eukaryota; Fungi; Basidiomycota; Agaricomycetes; Agaricales; Omphalotaceae. The record is from RNAcentral.